GCAUAUCAAUAAGCGGAGGAAAAGAAAAUACAAUGAUUUCCCUAGUAACGGCGAGUGAAGAGGAAAGAGCUCAAAGUUGGAACCUGUUUGGCUUAGCUAAACCGGAUUGUAAACUGUAGAAGUGUUUUCCUGACACGCCUGGUAAAAAAGUCCUUUGGAACAGGGCAUCAUAGAGGGUGAGAAUCCCGUCUUUGGCCAGAGCUGUUGUCUUUUGUGAUACAUUUUCAAAGAGUCAGGUUGUUUGGGAAUGCAGCCUAAAUUGGGUGGUAAAUCUCACCUAAAGCUAAAUAUUUGCGAGAGACCGAUAGCGAACAAGUACCGUGAGGGAAAGAUGAAAAGAACUUUGAAAAGAGAGUUAAACAGUAUGUGAAAUUGUUAAAAGGGAACCGUUUGGAGCCAGACUGGCUUGAUCGUAAUCAAUCUAAGCUUCGGCUUGGAUGCACUUGCGGUCUUUGCCUGCCAACGACAAUUUUUUCUGGGGGAAAAAACUAAUGUGAAACGUAGCCCAUCUCGGUGGGUGUUAUAGUCCGUUAGAAAAUACCCUGGAUUGGAUUGAGGAACGCAGUGAAUGCUCUUUAGGGCAAGAUUGCUGGGUGCUUUCGCUAAUACAUGCUAAAAUUUCUGCCUUGGGUGGUGUUAGUGUGUAAAGGAGGAACUCGCCUAGUAUAUUUUUUAUUCGCUUAGGUUGUUGGCUUAAUGACUCUAAAUGACCCGUCUUGAAACACGGACCAAGGAGUCCACCAUUAGUGCGAGUAUUUGGGUGACAAACUCAUAUGCGCAAGGAAACUGAUUGAUACGAAAUCUUUAAGAUGGCAGUAUCACCCGGCGAAGACGUUUUAUACUGAACCGACCGAGGUAAAGCACUAAUGAUGGGACCCGAAAGAUGGUGAACUAUGCCUGAAUAGGGUGAAGCCGGAGGAAACUCCGGUGGAGGCUCGUAGCGAUUCUGACGUGCAAAUCGAUCGUCAAAUUUGGGUAUAGGGGCGAAAGACUAAUCGAACCAUCUAGUAGCUGGUUCCUGCCGA
Molecule: ribosomal RNA, 1025 nt
Filed under: Mucor mucedo
Lineage: Eukaryota; Fungi; Mucoromycota; Mucoromycetes; Mucorales; Mucoraceae
Description: LSU rRNA
Rfam family: Eukaryotic large subunit ribosomal RNA
Source: RNAcentral